UACGUAGGGGGCUAGCGUUGUCCGGAUUUAUUGGGCGUAAAGAGCUCGUAGGCGGUUUGGCGCGUCUGCCGUGAAAGUCCGGGGCUCAACUCCGGAUCUGCGGUGGGUACGGGCAGACUAGAGUGAUGUAGGGGAGACUGGAAUUCCUGGUGUAGCGGUGAAAUGCGCAGAUAUCAGGAGGAACACCGAUGGCGAAGGCAGGUCUCUGGGCAUUAACUGACGCUGAGGAGCGAAAGCAUGGGGAGCGAACAGG
This 253-nucleotide ribosomal RNA is filed under the name uncultured bacterium. Its description in RNAcentral is "partial 16S ribosomal RNA". It matches the Rfam family "Bacterial small subunit ribosomal RNA", at positions 524 to 776 of the family's 1533-position model. The record is from RNAcentral.